GUUCCGGUGAUCUAGUGAUUAGAGCGUCCGCCUCGAAUGCGGGAGGUCGUGGGUUCGAUCCCCAGCCGAGUCA
Molecule: non-coding RNA, 73 nt
Organism: Potamilus streckersoni
Lineage: Eukaryota; Metazoa; Mollusca; Bivalvia; Unionida; Unionidae
Source: the annotation of a GenBank genome assembly